This 468-nucleotide ribosomal RNA is filed under the name uncultured bacterium. RNAcentral's name for it is "partial 16S ribosomal RNA". It matches the Rfam family "Bacterial small subunit ribosomal RNA", at positions 28 to 507 of the family's 1533-position model. The record is from RNAcentral.
GACGAACGCUGGCGGCGUGCUUAACACAUGCAAGUCGAACGGAAAGGCCCUGCUUUUGUGGGGUGCUCGAGUGGCGAACGGGUGAGUAACACGUGAGUAACCUGCCCUUGACUUUGGGAUAACUUCAGGAAACUGGGGCUAAUACCGGAUAGGAGCUCCUGCUGCAUGGUGGGGGUUGGAAAGUUUCGGCGGUUGGGGAUGGACUCGCGGCUUAUCAGCUUGUUGGUGGGGUAGUGGCUUACCAAGGCUUUGACGGGUAGCCGGCCUGAGAGGGUGACCGGCCACAUUGGGACUGAGAUACGGCCCAGACUCCUACGGGAGUCAGCAGUGGGGAAUAUUGCACAAUGGGCGGAAGCCUGAUGCAGCAACGCCGCGUGCGGGAUGACGGCCUUCGGGUUGUAAACCGCUUCCGCCUGUGACGAAGCGUGAGUGACGGUAAUGGGUAAAGAAGCACCGGCUAACUACGUG